UACGAGGGGGGCUAGCGUUGUUCGGAAUUACUGGGCGUAAAGGGCGCGUAGGCGGGCGUGGAAGUCAGAUGUGAAAGCCCCGGGCUCAACCCGGGAAUAGCAUUUGAUACUGCGAGGCUUGAGUCCGGGAGAGGAGGGCGGAAUUCCCAGUGUAGAGGUGAAAUUCGUAGAUAUUGGGAAGAAAACCGGUGGCGAAGGCGGCCAUCUGGACCGGCACUGACGCUGAGGCGCGAAAGCUUGGGGAGCAAACAGG
This 253-nucleotide ribosomal RNA is filed under the name uncultured bacterium. Its description in RNAcentral is "partial 16S ribosomal RNA". It matches the Rfam family "Bacterial small subunit ribosomal RNA", at positions 524 to 776 of the family's 1533-position model. The record is from RNAcentral.